ACACACACAGAUACCCACAGAGACACACACAGACACACACGGAGACACACACACAGACACACACAGAGACACACAGAGACAGACAUACCCACAGACUCAUACAGAGACUCACACACAGACAGACAUACACACAGACUCAUACAGAGACACACACACAGACAUACACAGACACACACCCAGACACAGACAGACAGACAGACACAGACAUACGCACAGACACAGAGACACACACACAGACACACAGACACACACAGACAGACAUACACACAGACACACACACACACACUGGUGGGGAAUGGGGUUCCAGUGUCAGCAUCAUCUCAUUGACCUUUGACCACCCUCCUCUUUUUCUCUGUUCCCAGGCCCCUCACCCUGGCCUUGGGCAUCUGCAUUCAGAAAUCGCCAUCCUCCAGAAGUCAGGAUUUCUCCCUGCCAGAGAGUUUAAUCAGCGUGAUCCAGCUGCUGGAGUGGGGAAGAGUCGAGCCGGGGUUUUAAUUAUCCCUGCUUUGCCCGAGUUAGGAAUUCCCGAUGGUGCCGUCUGCGUGAAGAUGCCAAAAACUGCAUUGUUCUUUAAUUAGCUGUUGUAAUUGUUUUAGUCUAAUCUCCGUGAUUAGCAGCAGCAUUAAAUACAGCAGGAAGAAAAGGCCUGUCCUCUACGCACUGCCCCAGUAAACAGAGCCUUUCUCCCUUCUGGAGAGGGAUAUCAGAGAGAAUCAAUUAGAACUCAACCAGGGUUGAUUGGGAAAUGACAAGA
Molecule: long non-coding RNA, 754 nt
Filed under: Capra hircus (goat)
Lineage: Eukaryota; Metazoa; Chordata; Mammalia; Artiodactyla; Bovidae
Description: lncRNA (ENSCHIG00010031974.1)
Source: RNAcentral